This 321-nucleotide long non-coding RNA is filed under the name Triticum aestivum (bread wheat). Its description in RNAcentral is "long non-coding RNA (TAES_LNC016203)". Lineage: Eukaryota; Viridiplantae; Streptophyta; Magnoliopsida; Poales; Poaceae. The record is from RNAcentral.
CCACAUCAAGUCCUCUCGGUCUACCUCCUCCAUCAUGUAGCAUGGCUUUGAGCGGCCAGGUGUCCCAGAUUGACAGCGACGGCGGCAUGAGGGUGUGAUAAAAUAAUAAUUAGCAGUAACAUGCACUAAUAUGAGGUUUAGCACCAGGGGUAACUUUAUGCAAUCACACUUAGUAAGUAGCAUUUUCUGUUGCUCUAUGAUUUUUAUGUGGGUAAUGGUGAUCUCUGUACAGACUAUAGAUGAUGUUGAAGUACAUGUCACACUGAAAAAGAACAUGCCUGAGAUAAGGCCAUGGAACCUUCAUGUGGUGCAUACUAGGGA